GAUGAACGCUGGCGGCGUGCCUAAUACAUGCAAGUCGAGCGAACAGACGAGGAGCUUGCUCCUUUGACGUUAGCGGCGGACGGGUGAGUAACACGUGGGUAACCUACCUAUAAGACUGGGAUAACUUCGGGAAACCGGAGCUAAUACCGGAUAAUAUUUCGAACCGCAUGGUUCGAUAGUGAAAGAUGGCUCUGCUAUCACUUAUAGAUGGACCUGCGCCGUAUUAGCUAGUUGGUAAGGUAACGGCUUACCAAGGCAACGAUACGUAGCCGACCUGAGAGGGGGAUAGGCCACACGGGAACUGAGACACGGUCCAGACUCCUACGGGAGGCAGCAGUAGGGAAUCGUCCGCAAUGGGCGAAAGCCUGACGGAGCAACGCCGCGUGAGUGAUGAAGGUCUUCGGAUCGUAAAACUCUGUUAUUAGGGAAGAACAAACGUGUAAGUAACUGUGCACGUCUUGACGGUACCUAAUCAGAAAGCCACGGCUAACUACGUG
This 497-nucleotide ribosomal RNA is filed under the name uncultured bacterium. RNAcentral describes it as "partial 16S ribosomal RNA". It matches the Rfam family "Bacterial small subunit ribosomal RNA", at positions 28 to 507 of the family's 1533-position model. The record is from RNAcentral.